UACGAGGGGGGCAAGCGUUGUUCGGAAUUAUUGGGCGUAAAGGGCGCGUAGGCGGUUUGACAAGUCUGAUGUGAAAUCUCUGGGCUCAACCCAGAGUCUGCAUUAGAAACUGUCGGGCUUGAGUAUGGGAGAGGUGAGUGGAAUUUCCGGUGUAGCGGUGAAAUGCGUAGAUAUCGGAAGGAACACCGGUGGCGAAAGCGGCUCACUGGACCAUAACUGACGCUGAGGCGCGAAAGCUAGGGGAGCAAACAGG
RNAcentral lists this ribosomal RNA (253 nucleotides) under uncultured bacterium. RNAcentral describes it as "partial 16S ribosomal RNA". It matches the Rfam family "Bacterial small subunit ribosomal RNA", at positions 524 to 776 of the family's 1533-position model. The record is from RNAcentral.